UGGGGAAUUUUGGACAAUGGGCGAAAGCCUGAUCCAGCAAUGCCGCGUGUGUGAAGAAGGCCUUCGGGUUGUAAAGCACUUUUGUCCGGAAAGAAAUCCUUGGCCCUAAUACAGUCGGGGGAUGACGGUACCGGAAGAAUAAGCACCGGCUAACUACGUGCCAGCAGCCGCGGUAAUACGUAGGGUGCAAGCGUUAAUCGGAAUUACUGGGCGUAAAGCGUGCGCAGGCGGUUUGCUAAGACCGAUGUGAAAUCCCCGGGCUCAACCUGGGAACUGCAUUGGUGACUGGCAGGCUAGAGUAUGGCAGAGGGGGGUAGAAUUCCACGUGUAGCAGUGAAAUGCGUAGAGAUGUGGAGGAAUACCGAUGGCGAAGGCAGCCCCCUGGGCCAAUACUGACGCUCAUGCACGAAAGCGUGGGGAGCAAACAGGAUUAGAUACCCUGGUAGUCCACGCCCUAAACGAUGUCAACUAGUUGUCGGGGAUUCAUUUCCUUAGUAACGUAGCUAACGCGUGAAGUUGACCGCCUGGGGGAGUACGGUCGCAAGAUUAAAACUUAAAGGAAUUGACGGGGUCAUAGCUGUUUCCU
This 586-nucleotide ribosomal RNA is filed under the name uncultured bacterium. Its description in RNAcentral is "partial 16S ribosomal RNA". It matches the Rfam family "Bacterial small subunit ribosomal RNA", at positions 355 to 1375 of the family's 1533-position model. The record is from RNAcentral.